RNAcentral lists this ribosomal RNA (208 nucleotides) under uncultured bacterium. Its description in RNAcentral is "partial 16S ribosomal RNA". It matches the Rfam family "Bacterial small subunit ribosomal RNA", at positions 568 to 775 of the family's 1533-position model. The record is from RNAcentral.
AGCGUAGACGGAUGGACAAGUCUGAUGUGAAAGGCUGGGGCUCAACCCCGGGACUGCAUUGGAAACUGCCCGUCUUGAGUGCCGGAGAGGUAAGCGGAAUUCCUAGUGUAGCGGUGAAAUGCGUAGAUAUUAGGAGGAACACCAGUGGCGAAGGCGGCUUACUGGACGGUAACUGACGUUGAGGCUCGAAAGCGUGGGGAGCAAACAG